UGUGUGUGUGUGUGUGUGUGUGUGUGAAGCAUGGUGGCUUAGCGGUUAGCAUAUUCACCUCAUUCUUCCAGUGUCGGGGGUUCGAUUCCCACCUUGGCCCUGUGUGUGCGGAGUUUGCAUGUUCUCCCCGUGCUGCGGGGGUUUCCUCUGGGUACUCUGGUUUCCUCCUCCAGUCCAAAGACAUGCAUGGUAGGCUGAUUGGCGUGUCCAAAGUGUUCGUAGUGUAUGAAUCACUGUGCCCGGGGGCCAUCUUCAGUCGUCUUGACUCAGUCUUGCCACUGGAUCAUGGCGGUCACCGGGAAGUGAUAGUGAGGCCGAUGCUGCGCGAGUCUUCGUCACUUGAAUCCAAUUCACGUGCAAGUUGAGUCCCAUAUUGUGUUCUCCAUAAUGGAGGCGGAAAUGGAAAAUUCGGCCUUCGUCGAAAUUGACGGACGAACUCCUGUGUGUGUGUGUAUGUAAUCUUUAGAUUAGAGAAGUAAUAUACUAAUGUUUUUUUUUAAUUCAGAGUAAGCAGCUGUGUUUUCAAAGCCUAAGUGGUGCGAUGGACGGUGAACCAGAGCCAAGAGCGCGGGCAGGUGACCCAGCUGUGGACGAGAAAUAUUUUGUCAGGUGCCCUCCUGUUUUCUAAGAAGAGCCCUGAUCCUAACACACAGGUGGGUGCGUGCAUUGUAAAUGAGGAAGGGAAAAUUGUGGGUAUCGGCUACAACAAAAUGCCCAAUGGCCGUGAGAAUGACUUCCCCUGGAAGCGUGACGAUGAAGACAAACUGAACAACAAAUAUCCAUACGGUGAGUUACGGCACUGCAGCAUGCUUUAAAAUGUCAUGCUUCAUUUUAAAACUGUAAACAGCUUUAUUCCUGUUAUACACUGCAGUAUUCUACAUGUAUUUUACACAGUUCACAUUGUACAUCUGUCUCAUAGCAAACUUUAUUUAACUGAAGUAUAAAUACAGCUUUAAGUUUUCUAUGGUUUUAUUUCACUCACUU
This is a long non-coding RNA of Ictalurus furcatus (blue catfish), 984 nucleotides long. RefSeq lists it as uncharacterized. The transcript is spliced from 3 exons. The record is from RefSeq and is a predicted model, not a curated record. NCBI's taxonomy places the organism in Eukaryota, Metazoa, Chordata, Actinopteri, Siluriformes, Ictaluridae.